Molecule: unclassified non-coding RNA, 397 nt
Filed under: soil metagenome
Description: partial contains 5.8S ribosomal RNA, internal transcribed spacer 2, and large subunit ribosomal RNA
Rfam family: 5.8S ribosomal RNA (bases 1-123)
Source: RNAcentral
GAUGAAGAAACGUAGCGAAAUGCAAUACUUGGUGUGAAUUGCAGAAUAUCGUGAACCAUUAAGUCUUUAAACGUAAGUUGCGCUCGAAGCCAUUAGGUCAAGGGCACGCCUGCCUGGCUGUCACACAUCGUUACCCUAAUGCCAACAUCCAUUGUUAGCCACGGUGUAGGGCGUAUGCUGACCUCCUGCGAGCGGGGUCUCGUGGGUGGUUGAAAAUCGAGUUCGCAGUAGAGUGUACCUUGAUAAAAUGGUGGAUGGGCGAUGCCCGAGGCCAAUCACAUGCGACUCUGUCCAACUUGGACUCCUGGACCCCUUCGACGUCUCCAGACACUCUUUAGCAAGACCUCAGGUUAGGUGGGGCUACCCACUGAGUUUAAGCAUAUCAAUAAGCGGAGGA